AGAGUUUGAUCCUGGCUCAGGAUGAACGCUGGCGGACUGCCUAACACAUGCAAGUUGAGCGAUUUACUUCGGUAAAGAGCGGCGGACGGGUGAAUAACGCGUGGGUAACCUACCCUGUACACACGGAUAACAUACCGAAAGGUAUGCUAAUACGGGAUAAUAUAUUUGAGAGGCAUCUCUUMAAUAUCAAAGGUGAKCCAGUACAGGAUGGACCCGCGUCUGAUUAGCUAGUUGGUAAGGUAACGGCUUACCAAGGCGACGAUCAGUAGCCGACCUGAGAGGGUGAUCGGCCACAUUGGAACUGAGACACGGUCCAAACUCCUACGGGAGGCAGCAGUGGGGAAUAUUGCACAAUGGGCGAAAGCCUGAUGCAGCAACGCCGCGUGAGUGAUGAAGGCCUUCGGGUCGUAAAACUCUGUCCUCAAGGAAGAUAAUGACGGUACUUGAGAGGAAGCCCCGGCUAACUACGUGCCAGCAGCCGCGGU
This 485-nucleotide ribosomal RNA is filed under the name Clostridium sp. A7-113. Its description in RNAcentral is "bacterial SSU rRNA". It matches the Rfam family "Bacterial small subunit ribosomal RNA", at positions 8 to 521 of the family's 1533-position model. The record is from RNAcentral. Lineage: Bacteria; Bacillati; Bacillota; Clostridia; Eubacteriales; Clostridiaceae.